UACAGAGGGUGCAAGCGUUGUUCGGAAUUACUGGGCGUAAAGCGCGCGCAGGCGGAUCCUGCAAGUCGGAAGUGAAAUUUCACCGCUCAACGGUGAAGCUGCUUCGGAUACUGUGGAUCUGGAGACCGGUAGAGGUUGGUGGAAUUGCAGGUGUAGCGGUGGAAUGCGUAGAGAUCUGCAAGAACACCCGUGGCGAAGGCGGCCAACU
This 208-nucleotide ribosomal RNA is filed under the name uncultured bacterium. RNAcentral's name for it is "partial 16S ribosomal RNA". It matches the Rfam family "Bacterial small subunit ribosomal RNA", at positions 524 to 730 of the family's 1533-position model. The record is from RNAcentral.